AGUGAACGCUGGCGGUAGGCCUAACACAUGCAAGUCGAACGGCAGCACAGUAAGAGCUUGCUCUUACGGGUGGCGAGUGGCGGACGGGUGAGGAAUACAUCGGAAUCUACUUUUUCGUGGGGGAUAACGUAGGGAAACUUACGCUAAUACCGCAUAUGACCUACGGGUGAAAGCAGGGGAUCUUCGGACCUUGCGCGAUUGAAUGAGCCGAUGUCGGAUUAGCUAGUUGGCGGGGUAAAGGCCCACCAAGGCGACGAUCCGUAGCUGGUCUGAGAGGAUGAUCAGCCACACUGGAACUGAGACACGGUCCAGACUCCUACGGGAGGCAGCAGUGGGGAAUCUUGGACAAUGGGCGCAAGCCUGAUCCAGCCAUACCGCGUGGGUGAAGAAGGCCUUCGGGUUGUAAAGCCCUUUUGUUGGGAAAGAAAAGCAGCAGGUUAAUACCCCGCUGUUCUGACGGUACCCAAAGAAUAAGCACCGGCUAACUUCGUG
This 492-nucleotide ribosomal RNA is filed under the name uncultured bacterium. Its description in RNAcentral is "partial 16S ribosomal RNA". It matches the Rfam family "Bacterial small subunit ribosomal RNA", at positions 29 to 507 of the family's 1533-position model. The record is from RNAcentral.